Molecule: ribosomal RNA, 444 nt
Filed under: uncultured bacterium
Lineage: Bacteria
Description: bacterial SSU rRNA
Rfam family: Bacterial small subunit ribosomal RNA
Source: RNAcentral
GACGAACGCUGGCGGCGUGCUUAACACAUGCAAGUCGAGCGGUAAGGCCCUUUCGGGGGUACACGAGCGGCGAACGGGUGAGUAACACGUGGGUGACCUGCCCUCAGCUCUGGGAUAAGCCUGGGAAACCGGGUCUAAUACCGGAUAUGACUCCAUGACGCAUGUUGUGGGGUGGAAAGCCUUGUGCGGCUGAGGAUGGGCCCGCGGCCUAUCAGCUUGUUGGUGGGGUGANGGCCUACCAAGGCGACGACGGGUAGCCGGCCUGAGAGGGCGACCGGCCACACUGGGACUGAGACACGGCCCAGACUCCUACGGGAGGCAGCAGUGGGGAAUCUUGGACAAUGGGCGCAAGCCUGAUCCAGCCAUGCCGCGUGAGUGAAGAAGGCCUUAGGGUUGUAAAGCUCUUUUACCAGGGACGAUAAUGACGGUACCUGGAGAAUAACG